Molecule: ribosomal RNA, 452 nt
Filed under: Streptococcus mitis
Lineage: Bacteria; Bacillati; Bacillota; Bacilli; Lactobacillales; Streptococcaceae
Description: bacterial SSU rRNA
Rfam family: Bacterial small subunit ribosomal RNA
Source: RNAcentral
GACGAACGCUGGCGGCGUGCCUAAUACAUGCAAGUAGAACGCUGAAGGAGGAGCUUGCUUCUCUGGAUGAGUUGCGAACGGGUGAGUAACGCGUAGGUAACCUGCCUGGUAGCGGGGGAUAACUAUUGGAAACGAUAGCUAAUACCGCAUAAGAGUAGAUGUUGCAUGACAUUUGCUUAAAAGGUGCAAUUGCAUCACUACCAGAUGGACCUGCGUUGUAUUAGCUAGUUGGUGGGGUAACGGCUCACCAAGGCGACGAUACAUAGCCGACCUGAGAGGGUGAUCGGCCACACUGGGACUGAGACACGGCCCAGACUCCUACGGGAGGCAGCAGUAGGGAAUCUUCGGCAAUGGACGGAAGUCUGACCGAGCAACGCCGCGUGAGUGAAGAAGGUUUUCGGAUCGUAAAGCUCUGUUGUAAGAGAAGAACGAGUGUGAGAGGGAAAGUUCAC